This is a long non-coding RNA of Cyprinus carpio (common carp), 358 nucleotides long. RefSeq lists it as uncharacterized. The record is from RefSeq and is a predicted model, not a curated record. Lineage: Eukaryota; Metazoa; Chordata; Actinopteri; Cypriniformes; Cyprinidae. The transcript has 3 exons.
GUGAAAAGAGACACUGUAUCUUUCCACAGAUGUAAAAUAUAAAUGUGGAAUGUGACAGAUUAAACACAAAAAAGAGGAAAACAAUCACAGCAGGAAUGGCAACUGCUAGGAUGCUGCAAGAGAAGAUGUCGCCUGUCAAGUGAAGUAAAAUGAAUUCCAGAUUAGAAAUAAAACAGCACAGGGAUGGCAUCAGAAUGUAGUCUUGAAGUGUGAGGAGCCAUCACAUUACCCUAACCAUUCAUUUUACUGUCCACCAGCGAACCUCCUCUUUUAAAAUGCUUUUACUUUCCAAAAUGUUUGAUUAUAACAGGAAUGAUCUGGAGUGAUCUGGGUCAUGCUGGACGCAUUUCUUGUCAGA